GGCCUUGAAAUACCACCCUUUAAUGUUUGAUGUUCUAACGUGGACCCGUGAUCCGGGUUGCGGACAGUGUCUGGUGGGUAGUUUGACUGGGGCGGUCUCCUCCUAAAGAGUAACGGAGGAGCACGAAGGUUGGCUAAUCCUGGUCGGACAUCAGGAGGUUAGUGCAAUGGCAUAAGCCAGCUUGACUGCGAGCGUGACGGCGCGAGCAGGUGCGAAAGCAGGUCAUAGUGAUCCGGUGGUUCUGAAUGGAAGGGCCAUCGCUCAACGGAUAAAAGGUACUCCGGGGAUAACAGGCUGAUACCGCCCAAGAGUUCAUAUCGACGGCGGUGUUUGGCACCUCGAUGUCGGCUCAUCACAUCCUGGGGCUGAAGUAGGUCCCAAGGGUAUGGCUGUUCGCCAUUUAAAGUGGUACGCGAGCUGGGUUUAGAACGUCGUGAGACAGUUCGGUCCCUAUCUGCCGUGGGCGCUGGAGAACUGAGGGGGGCUGCUCCUAGUACGAGAGGACCGGAGUGGACGCAUCACUGGUGUUCGGGUUGUCAUGCCAAUGGCACUGCCCGGUAGCUAAAUGCGGAAGAGAUAAGUGCUGAAAGCAUCUAAGCACGAAACUUGCCCCGAGAUGAGUUCUCCCUGAGACUUUAGGUCUCCUGAAGGAACGUUGAAGACGACGACGUUGAUAGGCCGGGUGUGUAAGCGCAGCGAUGCGUUGAGCUAACCGGUACUAAUGAACCGUGAGGCUUAACCUUACA
RNAcentral lists this ribosomal RNA (746 nucleotides) under Salmonella enterica. RNAcentral describes it as "partial 23S ribosomal RNA". It matches the Rfam family "Bacterial large subunit ribosomal RNA", at positions 2188 to 2925 of the family's 2925-position model. Lineage: Bacteria; Pseudomonadati; Pseudomonadota; Gammaproteobacteria; Enterobacterales; Enterobacteriaceae. The record is from RNAcentral.